UACGUAGGGUGCGAGCGUUGUCCGGAAUUAUUGGGCGUAAAGGGCUCGUAGGCGGUUUGUCACGUCGGGAGUGAAAACUCGGGGCUCAACCCCGAGCCUGCUUCCGAUACGGGCAGACUAGAGGUAUGCAGGGGAGAAUGGAAUUCCUGGUGUAGCGGUGAAAUGCGCAGAUAUCAGGAGGAACACCGGUGGCGAAGGCGGGUCUCUGGGCCGUAACUGACGCUGAGGAGCGAAAGCGUGGGGAGCGAACAGG
This 253-nucleotide ribosomal RNA is filed under the name uncultured bacterium. Its description in RNAcentral is "partial 16S ribosomal RNA". It matches the Rfam family "Bacterial small subunit ribosomal RNA", at positions 524 to 776 of the family's 1533-position model. The record is from RNAcentral.